UGAAAUCUGGCUCUCGGGCCCGAGUUGUAAUUUGUAGAGGAUGCUUUUGGUGCGGUGCCUUCCGAGUUCCCUGGAACGGGACGCCAUAGAGGGUGAGAGCCCCGUCUGGUCGGACACCAAUCCUCUGUAAAGCUCCUUCGACGAGUCGAGUAGUUUGGGAAUGCUGCUCUAAAUGGGAGGUAUAUGUCUUCUAAAGCUAAAUAUAGGCCAGAGACCGAUAGCGCACAAGUAGAGUGAUCGAAAGAUGAAAAGCACUUUGAAAAGAGAGUUAAAAAGUACGUGAAAUUGUUGAAAGGGAAGCGCUUGUGACCAGACUUGGGGCCGGUGAAUCAUCCAGCGUUCUCGCUGGUGCACUUCGCCGGUCCUAGGCCAGCAUCAGUUUGCCCCGGGGGACAAAGGCUUCGGGAAUGUGGCUCCUCCGGGAGUGUUAUAGCCCGUCGCGUAAUACCCUGGGGCGGACUGAGGUUCGCGCAUCUGCAUGGAU
This 484-nucleotide ribosomal RNA is filed under the name Fusarium ventricosum. RNAcentral's name for it is "eukaryotic LSU rRNA". It matches the Rfam family "Eukaryotic large subunit ribosomal RNA", at positions 116 to 624 of the family's 3401-position model. Lineage: Eukaryota; Fungi; Ascomycota; Sordariomycetes; Hypocreales; Nectriaceae. The record is from RNAcentral.